This is a non-coding RNA of Oryctolagus cuniculus (rabbit), 1310 nucleotides long. NCBI's taxonomy places the organism in Eukaryota, Metazoa, Chordata, Mammalia, Lagomorpha, Leporidae. The record is from RefSeq and is a predicted model, not a curated record.
GCUCACCUGGCCAGAGCGAAACUACUGAUGCGAGAUGAUGAGAGAUCUGGCGCUGCCCCGUCAGGACGCCGCCCUUCCUCACCCCUCUCUAAAUGAGGAAAUAUAGAAAAUACGGACUAGAAAGGCCCCCACAUUAGAAUUGCCUAGGCAGAAACAAAUCAUUCCAACCUCAAAAAAAGGGGGGGGGGGUUAAACAAUAUGCAGCUGAUUUAGCAAAAAUCUGUACAAGAAUGCGAGCAGUCUCUGUAAAGCCUAUGAGAAGCAAUUGGGAAAACACCCCCCCCCCCCCAAUCAGAAUAAGGAUUAGAAUAAAAAUAGUGAAAUGGAGUCCUUCAAAAAGUGAGCCGGCCUUGGCUAACGUCUAUGAUUUGACCAAUGUCGCAGGGAAGAAUUCGUGAUGGAGACCCACUGGUUUACAGGGCUGACCUGGAGAACUGAGCAGACAGCCUGGCCACUUACAUAUGUUCAUUUGAUCUCCCAAGAAGCUAAGUUUGAGAGCAGCUCUGGUCCUCAAUCCCCAUCCCUCUGACCCAAGCCAAUGGGAGCUCAACUUCCCGUAAGGCCUAUGGCAAAGCACUUCGCAGUAGCGGAGACCAGGGGAGCAGAGCAGAACUGUCUGACAGCACAAGAGGGAAGGAUGUGAGAGAGUCAGGUGUGCUGAAGGAAAUAGUAACAGUACCUGUGGCCAGAAUUUGGGGGUUGAAGCUGAGCAAUAACCAACUUUUGUGGGUCUCUCCAACUCAACUGGUCCUCUCAACAGCCCUUUGACAGAUUUCUACCAACUGGAAGCCAGCUGAACUGUUAAGCAAAAGGGAGGCAGGUGCCACUGAAGUGAACAAACUGUGAAAAGGCUGGGGAUCUGCUUGGCCUCGAGGAUUACUAAAACCAGAGUUGUUCCCUGGUGGCCCUUCCUCUUCCCUCAGCCUAGCUUCUCUCCACAUUGAUGUCAUGCCUUAGACCACCUCUCUGCAUGUGGCUGGAAAUGAGUUUUCCACAUCUUCAGCAUCAUCAUCAGACAGGCAGAAGGGGAUGAUCCUGGCCGCAGCUUAAGCAUUCCCUGGGAAGGACAUGUUAUUAAAUUGGUCCAGCCACUUGCCCACCCCUGAACGAAAUGAUUGUGCUCGUAAGUGGGAUCUGUGAGAACGUGGACACUGCCAGGCUGGAACGGUGACACUGCAUUGUUGAAGUGGAGAGAGAACGUUUCCCACAAGAUGGGGGAAGACAAAAACGUAGAUGCCCAUUCGAAUUAGAAUUAGAACUAGAACUAGAAUUCUCAUUAUUAAACAUGAGAACACUAAGGUGGUAAAGUA